Molecule: unclassified non-coding RNA, 217 nt
Filed under: soil metagenome
Description: partial contains 5.8S ribosomal RNA, internal transcribed spacer 2, and large subunit ribosomal RNA
Source: RNAcentral
AAGACUAUAGACCUGCGGAGUACCUGCGGAGGGAUCAUUAUCGAGUUUACAACUCCCAAACCAUUGUGAAUCUUACCUUUUCGUUGCUUCGGCGGGAUCGCCCCGGGCGCUUCGGUGCCCCGGAUUCAGGCGCCCGCCGGGGGACCUAAACUCUUGUAUUAUAGUGGAUUUCUGAGUGGAUUACACAAAUAAUCAAAACUUUCAACAACGGAUCUCU